UGGAUUAAUGCAAUAAGAGUCCAUCUAAAUUUCAAUAUUGCAUAAUAAUAUAACAAAAAAACAUAACUAUUGUAGCAAAACCUCGGUUGAUGCCUGGUUGCCAUAGCAACCAUGUUUUUUGUUUUAUUUAUUUAACAGUAAAAUAUAGGCCAGGCUACAGAUUGUAACACCUUACAUUUUUUUAAAUUAAUUAAAAUAAAUAGAUAAAUAAAUAAACGCAGUACUUACCAUGAAAAGUCAAUUGUGUUGCUGGUCUUAAAACGGUUACUUUGUUGUCACAAAAAAAAUCCGUUACUUUGUUGCUUGCGCGUGCUCGAGGACACACGUCAAACACGCUGUGAAUUCCGGAGAACAGUGCAACUGCGCCGUCUAUUGGUGAAUCGGACAAAAUGUGGGCAUUAAUUGAAUGGACCGAAAUGGAAGCCUCUCUGGACAUUGUUAAAAGAGAAGAAAUUCUUCAAUCUGUAGUUCAUGAAGGGGAUAUUGUUGAUGUUAAGUAUGAAGAUGAGAGCUCUCCUGCAGUUAUUCUCAAAAUGAAUGAAAACAAGGACAAGCUACUGAAACGACUGAAUCAGAUGGAGUCAGAGAAAAGGCAGAAAGAAGUGGGCAAGCUGCCUGAAAAAAGAACAAUAAAAAGAAAAAGAAUAUUUAGUCCAGAAAACACCCCAUCAUCAAGUCCGGAUCAAGUCCAGAAGAGAUUUAAAAAAGUAAAAUCUAACUUCUUGAUAAAUUAUAUUACUGUAACAUCUUUUACUGUUAUUUUUUGUGUAUCAUGUGUUUUUGCUGUUCUGUGACUUUAAUUUUGUCUCUCAACUUAGGUGGAAAAAACACAAAAUGACACACUAUUGCUUAAGAAAAUAGAAGAAAAAAACAAAGAAAAUGAAAAAAAAAUAAAUGAUUUGAGAAAAGAAAUCAAAGCUUUGAAAAUAGAGAAUCAGCAACUAAAGGCUCUGAACUUUAAAUUGCAAAAUGGUAAGCUAUUUAUCCAUGGUUAUAUAGCUUUUGCUAUGCAUGAAUGAGUUUAUUUAAACAUUGUUCUUCUUUAUGUAGAGAUUAUUAACAAAUUUGGAGAGUUGCUGCCUAUCAGUGUAAACAAGCAUGCUGUGCCAACCUCUGUAACAAGUGCAGCUUGCAGUGCUGCCCUUCAACCAGCCACCUCUUCACAUCUCAGUUCUUCUGAACUUGACCAUGUGAGAAUACUAUUUUUAGAUUUUCUUUUCACACCACUUAAAUAAGUCAAUUCAGUUUGUGUGUGUGUAUGUGUGUCUACUUAACCAUAUUUUGGGGACAUUUUUUUACCCAGAAGUGAUCAAAACCAGACAAAAUCUUCAAAAACCUCACUUUAGGGAUGUCCUCAUUUGUAAAACUGGUUUAAAAUAAAGUAAUUAAAGUUUUUUUUUUUUUUUCAAAUG
Long non-coding RNA from Megalobrama amblycephala (Wuchang bream), 1412 nucleotides. RefSeq lists it as uncharacterized. The record is from RefSeq and is a predicted model, not a curated record. NCBI's taxonomy places the organism in Eukaryota, Metazoa, Chordata, Actinopteri, Cypriniformes, Xenocyprididae. The transcript has 3 exons.